RNAcentral lists this ribosomal RNA (114 nucleotides) under Dryobates pubescens (Downy woodpecker). Lineage: Eukaryota; Metazoa; Chordata; Aves; Piciformes; Picidae. The record is from RNAcentral.
AACUAUGGCCAUACCACCCUCAAUGCAGGAUCUUGUCUGAUCUUGGAAUCUAAGCAGGGUUGGGCCUGAUUAGUACUUGGAUGGGAGACCACCUGGGAAUACUGGGACCAGUCU